This 371-nucleotide ribosomal RNA is filed under the name uncultured Glomeromycotina. RNAcentral describes it as "eukaryotic LSU rRNA". Lineage: Eukaryota; Fungi; Glomeromycota. The record is from RNAcentral.
UUGAAAGGGAAACGAUUGAAGUCAGUCGUACCGACGAGAAAUCAGCUUAUCGUGUGUGAACUUGUGGGCGUGCGUGAGUUUCGGCCUCGCUGUUUGCAUGUUUGUGCGCUUUGGGUGUACUUUUUCGUAUGGUAGGCCAACAUCAGUUUCGAUUAUUAUAAAAUGACUGGCGGAAUGUAGCUUCGAUUUCGGUUGAAGUGUUAUAGCCUCUGGUAGAUGUGGUAAUUGGGACUGAGGAUUGCAACGAAUAUCCUUUGGGCUAUCCGUCUGGCCUCUGAAAGUUGCUUGGGUGCUGAAAGCUUGCUUAUGGUUAUCUAAGUUAACGGUCAAUAGGUUAGAACGUGAUUACAUUCGUUAAGGAUGUUGACGUA